CGGGCAUCCCAUCCGUCCGUGGGCUGGAAAGCGGAAAAGCCAGGCCAGGGAGGAAUAACAUCGAACAGCUAGACGGCACUGCUGGUGAAACGGACGAAGUACGUACGUACGUACGUACGAGAAGACAGCUAUAUAUUCUCCAUUUUCAUCUCCGAGUUGAGAAUGAGAAGGGGAGGGGGCCCCUGCCUCUGCCUAGGCAAGAAUCCAUGUGUGCGCGCGUGUCGCCGUCGUCUUCGUCGCCGCCGCGGCAACUGAGAUCUGGUCCGGUGGCUAGGCAGGACAUUUCAUUUGCUCUCUUCUACGGCGGCCGUUCGCCUAGAGCUAGCCUAGGGGCCACGCUUUUUCCUUUUACGGGCAGCGACCUCAGCCGAAUUCAGCGGCGCCGUCACACUCGAUAACUCAUGGGCACUCCACUCGCUGGGCAUCGGUUCUCCCCGUUUCCCCACCGGGAUUCACCACGGCGCCAUCGCCAUUUGUUGGACAUCACAUCGGACGUGUGGCAUAUGUGAUCUUGCGUACGCAGUGAAUAUGAAAUGCAGAAGAAGAUUACUGUCUACAUGUAGCUAAUCAUCUUCUUCUGGAAUGGCUGAGGAGUACUGAGAUAUCACCAACGAUCUUUCAAGGAAUGAUGGCCAGAUGGUGAUGAAAUGUAAGAGACGGAGCAAAGAUAAGCGACCCUCUCUUCCAGGUCUGUUCGUUGGCCGAGAGUUCAAACAUAAUAUUGUGUGAAAAGUUAAGAGCUGGAUAUUCAUGCAGCAGCAUUGCAUCUUAUGUUCUGAGCUUGGGUUGGCACUGCAAACAAGAUAUUGCCAAUUCUUUCUUUUACCACAAACAUUCUGGUAUCGCCAAUUCUUCCGUUUACCACAAACGUUACAAUCCACCAACCUUUCCCAAUGUAACACUGGAUAUCUGAGGGGAUGGUACUUUAUCACAAGCCAAGUGCACGUUCAUACUCUCCAUCUUAACCAAGGGUUCAGUAUCUUCAGAAGAAAACCAUCUCGAUGAAACGGUGCAGGGUAUACAGUGCUACACGAACUCAUUAAAGUGUUAAUUUAACAGAAAUUUUUCAAACUGCACAACACAAAUUCUUGCAUGAUUGAAUCGGUCAGGUCCAUCACACCCGAUGGACACUCGGUAGCAAAAGUAAAAGUUCUCUGCAGCCAUCUCUUAUUUGAUGAUGCUCCAUAAGACAUGCACUGGACAAAUCUGAAAAAAGUUUUGUUUCCACGAAAAAACCUAAGGCGAAAACUACCACCUGCUUGAUGGCCAAAUGUAUAUUCAUAAACAAGGAUGCCGUGGAGCAGUCUGGUGCUUAGAACGCGUAAGCGAAAUCAUAUGCCUCACAAAUUUCUUAUUUUCAGAACCACGAGGCAUCCUUAGUGGUGAUGACCGUCAUCAUCAUCAUCAUGCCCAUCUGGAUUUCCACCAUCACCAAUGACCUUAAG
This is a long non-coding RNA of Hordeum vulgare subsp. vulgare (domesticated barley), 1445 nucleotides long. RefSeq lists it as uncharacterized. The record is from RefSeq and is a predicted model, not a curated record. NCBI's taxonomy places the organism in Eukaryota, Viridiplantae, Streptophyta, Magnoliopsida, Poales, Poaceae. The transcript has 2 exons.